Molecule: ribosomal RNA, 766 nt
Filed under: Staphylococcus aureus
Lineage: Bacteria; Bacillati; Bacillota; Bacilli; Caryophanales; Staphylococcaceae
Description: bacterial SSU rRNA
Rfam family: Bacterial small subunit ribosomal RNA
Source: RNAcentral
GAUGAACGCUGGCGGCGUGCCUAAUACAUGCAAGUCGAGCGAACGGACGAGAAGCUUGCUUCUCUGAUGUUAGCGGCGGACGGGUGAGUAACACGUGGAUAACCUACCUAUAAGACUGGGAUAACUUCGGGAAACCGGAGCUAAUACCGGAUAAUAUUUUGAACCGCAUGGUUCAAAAGUGAAAGACGGUCUUGCUGUCACUUAUAGAUGGAUCCGCGCUGCAUUAGCUAGUUGGUAAGGUAACGGCUUACCAAGGCAACGAUGCAUAGCCGACCUGAGAGGGUGAUCGGCCACACUGGAACUGAGACACGGUCCAGACUCCUACGGGAGGCAGCAGUAGGGAAUCUUCCGCAAUGGGCGAAAGCCUGACGGAGCAACGCCGCGUGAGUGAUGAAGGUCUUCGGAUCGUAAAACUCUGUUAUUAGGGAAGAACAUAUGUGUAAGUAACUGUGCACAUCUUGACGGUACCUAAUCAGAAAGCCACGGCUAACUACGUGCAAGCAGCCGCGGUAAUACGUAGGUGGCAAGCGUUAUCCGGAAUUAUUGGGCGUAAAGCGCGCGUAGGCGGUUUUUUAAGUCUGAUGUGAAAGCCCACGGCUCAACCGUGGAGGGUCAUUGGAAACUGGAAAACUUGAGUGCAGAAGAGGAAAGUGGAAUUCCAUGUGUAGCGGUGAAAUGCGCAGAGAUAUGGAGGAACACCAGUGGCGAAGGCGACUUUCUGGUCUGUAACUGACGCUGAUGUGCGAAAGCGUGGGGAUCAAACAGG